Molecule: long non-coding RNA, 2644 nt
Filed under: Homo sapiens (human)
Lineage: Eukaryota; Metazoa; Chordata; Mammalia; Primates; Hominidae
Description: HSALNT0062430
Source: RNAcentral
CUCAUUAUGUUUCCAGGCUAGUCUCAAAUUCCUGGCCUCAAGUGACCCUCCUGCCUCGGCCUCCCAAAGGCUGGGAUUACAGGCAUAAACCUCCAUGCCCAACCAUGAAGUUGCUAUUUUUAAAGAUAUUUAAUUGAAAACACAGUUUUAAUAAAUGUAUUUAUUCAAAAAGAGUUAUUCAUCAUCAAAACACAGCCUCUGCUUGCAAGGAACCCAAAAUCUGCUAGGAAGAGAAAGAAUAAAAAUAAAUAACUUUAGUACAGUAUUAUUCUUUCAAAAUAGAAUGAUUUGGGCACAAAAUCAUUCAGAAAGAGCAGGGAAAACUUCAUCAAAAAGAUAACUUUUGACCAGGGUCUUAAAAGGUAAGUAAACAUUCUCCAGGUAGAUGGGAGUGAGUCAUGAUAAAAGUGUGUUGUUAUCUGAGAAAUUCAAUUCCACAUGGCUAGAACAAAGGGUAUGAGAAACUAUCCUUAACUGCGAAAUCUGUAGGCAGCAGAUAGCUAAUAGAAUACCUUAAACAUGGUGCUAAGGAAUUGUGACUUUAUCCAAUUGGUGAUGAGGAACCAGAGAAGAGUUUCAAUGAAGAUUAAUAAUUAGAUCUUUAUGUGUAAAUAUAGAUAUGGAGAGGAUAAUACUGGAGUCAAGAAGAUAAGUUAAUAUGUUGUUACAACAGUCUGGAUAAGAGGUGAUGAGGUCUAAAAUUGAGAAUAGAGCAAUGGGAAUGUAGAAAGAAAUCUGAGAUAAUUUAGGGGUGAUAAAAUUGAGUAAAUUUCAAAUGAGCUUUCCUUUUCUUAAAAAGUAAUUUUCUAACAAAUUGCUGCGCUGGCAACACAGAGCUGGAGAUCAGAUAGGGCGGGAUGACUUUGGACUUUGAAAUCAGAGAAGCCUGGACUUGAGACCCAAAUCCAUCACCUCCAAGUCUGAACAUGAGGAAAAACAUCAGACAAACUCAAUGGAAAGACAAUCUACAAAGCACUUUACUAGUACUCCUCAAAAUUGUCAUGGUCAUGAAAAACAAGGAAAGUUGAAGAAACUGUCACAGACCAAAGGAGACUAUGAAGACACGAUGACUAAAUGUAAUGUGGUAUCCUGGGUGUGGCCUUGGAAUAAAACAGGAUAUCACUUUAAAAAGUGUGAAAUCCUAACAGCAUGUGGAGUUUAGUUAAUAUUCAUGUACCAUUGUUGGUUUCUUGAUUGUAACAAAUGUAGUGUGAAAAUGCAGGAUGUUAACAGUAAGAGAAACUGGCUGAGGAUAUGUAGGAACUCUGUACUUUCUUUGCAACAUUACUAUAAAUAUAAAGCUAUUCUAAAAUUAAAAUUUAUUAAGCCUUUUAAAAAGCUGAUAGAAAAAAACAAAAACAACAACAAACAUCAAUUUCUGGGCUCCACUCUAAGUCAUUUAAAUUUGAAUCUUUGUGAAUGCUCAUCAACUGUUUUUAAUGUACAGCUUGCUUGAAAACCAUCGUCCUGCUUGAACGUUCCCAAUACAGCUUCUCUAGUAUCUCUUCACUAUUUCUCUAAUAAUCCACUACUCUCUCCCUCACACGAUAUACAGCGGCCACUCUGCCCUGCUUGCUAUUGCCCAAAUGUGCCAGGAAUAUUUGAGUUUCACAACCUUUACAAUUAUUGUUCCCUCUCACUAGAACACAACUUCACUUAAAUAACAGUAUCGCUUGCUCUCUUGCUUACUUAAGAUCUGUAUAAAAACAAAAACAAAAGCAAAAAAAAAAUUGUCACUUUAUUAUAGGAUUCCCCAGGACCACCUUUCUAAAAAUAGCAACCACUUCACCACCAGAGCUAACUUAUUCCGUUUACCUUAUUCUGUUUUACUUUUCUUCACAGGAUUUAAGAUUGCCUGGCAUUUUAUUACACGUUACGUGCUGAUUUUGUGCCCUACUAAAAGCUAAGCUUCAUGAUAAUUGGGACUUUGUUUUGUUUAUUGUUGUAUCCUCACUGUGCCUGGGAACUUUACAUCCUGUGCCUGGAACACUGAUUGUCAUGUAUUGGAUGUUCAAUAAAUGUUUGUGGAAUGCUUGAAUGAAUUCAUGAAUGAAUGAGGAAAACUGACAAGGAAAUCAGUGUGAUGCUGCCACAAAAAAAAAAAAAAAAUGCUAUGAUACAUGGAAGCAAGGGUGCUUGGGAAUGGGUCUCGACAGGCAACCAGCGCAGCCUGGGGAAGUUCCUGGAAGAUCUGUCAGAGGACAUGUUCCUGAAGGAAGUUGUAAAGGGUAAAAGAUUGUUGCUUAAGAAAACUGCACUGAGGCUAGAAUUUCAGACAGGGAAGGCAUUAGAACAAAGACCUCAGAAGGUCUAGGAGUUGCAUAGUUCAGUAGGACCGGGGUGUGGAGAAGAGCAAGCUGGGGUUUAUGCCUCAAGGUGAGGUGAGGCUCAAAUGGAAGGCUAUGAAGAAGCAUAUAGGCCCCCUAUGAUCAAUUCCACAUGGAAUUGGUCAUGAGGAGUUAGCCUAGAUUAUCUUGGCUAAUAGCAAGUGCUCAAUAAAUGCUUGUUGAAUGAAUAGCCAAUAAUCAUAAGAAAUAAUAUGUGGUCCAUUUCUCAUACUGAAAAUGUUCACUGAUACCAGUCUCUAAACAUAGAUCCCUUCUAUAUCUCUCUGCAUAUAGAUUAUUUACAUUGACAUAUUUGA